CCGUGAUAAAGUAGCAUAAUCACUCGUCAUUUAAUUGGUGACUGGAAUGAAUGGUUACACGAAUCUUUAACUGUCUCAAGAAGAAAGUUCAAUUAAUUUGAAAAAACAGUGAAGAUGCUGUUAACAAAAUUGUAAGACGAAAAGACCCUUUCGAGCUUUACUAUAAGCUUAUAGAAAAAAUCUUUAAUAAAAAUAUAAUAAAAACAAACUGUAAGCUAGUUAGUUUGGUUGGGGCGACCACCUCUAAAACAGUAUCAGAGGAAAUCUAAAGGUAUAAUAGUAAUAUUAAUUGCCUUACUGUAUACAAACAAGUUAAUCAGUUACUAUUAUGUAGGAUAUAAUGACCCGUUGAAUUAAUUUCAAAAUUCAACGACCAUGAAAAAAGUUACCGUAGGGAUAACAGGGUAAUAUUAUCACAGAGUUCAUAUCGAUGAUGAU
Molecule: ribosomal RNA, 438 nt
Filed under: Nemopilema nomurai
Lineage: Eukaryota; Metazoa; Cnidaria; Scyphozoa; Rhizostomeae; Rhizostomatidae
Description: partial 16S ribosomal RNA
Rfam family: Bacterial large subunit ribosomal RNA
Source: RNAcentral